UCAGAAUGAACGCUGGCGGCGUGCAUAACACAUGCAAGUCGAACGAGAAAGUCCCUUCGGGGAUUAGUAAAGUGGCGCACGGGUGAGUAACGCGUGGGUAAUCUACCUAUAGUUUAAGGAUAACACUUCGAAAGGAGUGCUAAUACUUAAUAGUAUUGCGAUUUCUUCGGAAGUUGUAAUUAAAGACUGCCUCUACAUGUAAGCUGUUGACUAUAGAUGAGCCCGCGUACCAUUAGCUAGUUGGUAGGGUAAUGGCCUACCAAGGCAAAGAUGGUUAGCUGGUCUGAGAGGAUGACCAGCCACACUGGAACUGAGAUACGGUCCAGACUCCUACGGGAGGCAGCAGUGAGGAAUAUUGCGCAAUGGGGGAAACCCUGACGCAGCGACACCGCGUGAGUGAUGAAGGCUUUCGGGUCGUAAAACUCUGUCAGAUGGGAAGAAAAAAUAGUAGCUAAUAACUAUUGUUUUUGACAGUACUAUCAAAGGAAACACCGGCCAACUCCGUGCCAGCAGCCGCGGUAAUACGGAGGGUGUUAGCGUUGUUCGGAAUUAUUGGGCGUAAAGAGCGUGUAGGCGGCUUGAUAAGUCAGAUGUGAAAUACCUUGGCUUAACCAGGGAAGUGCAUUUGAAACUAUCAGGCUUGUGUACGGGAGAGGAGAGUGGAAUUCCCAGUGUAGAGGUAAAAUUCGUAGAUAUUGGGAGGAACACCAGUGGCGAAAGCGACUCUCUAGACCGAUACUGACGCUGAAACGCGAAAGCGUGGGGAGCAAACAGGAUUAGAUACCCUGGUAGUCCACGCUGUAAACGUUGGGCACUAGGUGUAGGGAGUUUUUAAACUUCCUGUGCCGAAGCUAACGCAUUAAGUGCCCCGCCUGGGGAGUACGGUCGCAAGACUAAAACUCAAAGGAAUUGACGGGGGCCCGCACAAGCGGUGGAGCAUGUGGUUUAAUUCGACGCAACGCGAAGAACCUUACCUGGGUUUGACAUAUUAGUAGUAGGAAGCUGAAAGGCAGACGAGCCCUUCGGGGAAGCUAAUACAGGUGCUGCAUGGCUGUCGUCAGCUCGUGUCGUGAGAUGUUGGGUUAAGUCCUGCAACGAGCGCAACCCUUGUUUUUAGUUGCUACCAUUUAGUUGGGCACUCUAAAAAGACUGCCGGUGUUAAACCGGAGGAAGGUGGGGAUGACGUCAAGUCAUCAUGGCCUUUAUGCCCAGGGCCACACACGUGCUACAAUGGGCUGUACAAAGGGCAGCAAAACCGUGAGGUUAAGCAAAUCCCAAAAAACAGUUCUCAGUUCGGAUUGGAGUCUGCAACUCGACUCCAUGAAGUCGGAAUCGCUAGUAAUCGUGGAUCAGCACGCCACGGUGAAUACGUUCCCG
RNAcentral lists this ribosomal RNA (1377 nucleotides) under uncultured bacterium. Its description in RNAcentral is "16S ribosomal RNA". It matches the Rfam family "Bacterial small subunit ribosomal RNA", at positions 24 to 1376 of the family's 1533-position model. The record is from RNAcentral.